AUGCACUGGUUCCCCGCGAGCGAAUAUUCCGCCCAGAUGCGAAACCAAGUCAUACCUCAGAAACGGCCGGACCACGCGAAACGGCUGCCUCCCUCGCACUCGUCCUCAGCCCACAGCUCGACGGAAGGACUCCAAGCAGCGGGUGCUCGACGGCCGGAAUCGAACUGUGAAGACGAGGAGAAUGGUGAGGUGAACACGUCACCAAAUGUUGGUGAGUCUUCUGACCCCAAAGCACCACCCAAAAAGAAGGCUAAGGUAAAGAACAUUGUUGAUGAUCCACUAGUUACCACUCUCAAAGAUGGGUUCAAACUUGUGGCUGAAGCGCUUGCUAAGUCUAGUGGAGAUGAUGAUGAUAUACCCGACGACCUUUGGGAUGUAGUGUCUGUAUUGCCAGAUUUUGAUGAAGAGCACCUAGCCCACUACUAUGCCCAUCUUGUGGACAACCCCAAGACAGCAAGAGCCUUCAUGAAACUUACCCAAAUCAACAAGUCUUUUUGGGUGAGUAGGUAUGUGAAGAAGAACUUCUAA
This 528-nucleotide ribosomal RNA is filed under the name Triticum aestivum (bread wheat). RNAcentral's name for it is "partial small subunit ribosomal RNA". The record is from RNAcentral. Lineage: Eukaryota; Viridiplantae; Streptophyta; Magnoliopsida; Poales; Poaceae.